Molecule: long non-coding RNA, 7176 nt
Filed under: Zea mays
Lineage: Eukaryota; Viridiplantae; Streptophyta; Magnoliopsida; Poales; Poaceae
Description: long non-coding RNA (ZMAY_LNC004739)
Source: RNAcentral
ACGCACAACCCUCAACUUCUCUUCCCGUAUCACUACCUCCUGCAACUCCCAGUCCUGUCCUGGCCGAUCAAAACCACCCCAUCCGCCAUAUUCUCUUUCUCUCCCAUCCGCAAGGCAAGACUCUCACUUCCGUAUCUCCUCGUGGUGUCAAGGAAGGGGGUUCACUUGAAGCUGCUGGUGGAGACACGGGUAGAAGUCUGGAGCUCCGCCAUAGACGUGCUUCGCUGGAACACUGUGCGCAACACAUCGCCGACGCCACCCCGACUGGUAAGGUCUCGCAUCCCCUUCCUGCUAAGUUGUUGUGCAUGCAUGCCGCCGUGGCCCGCUCCCUGGCUGAGCACCGCCGUCGGCGAGCCGCUCUGGCCGCUCCGGCGAGAGCCCGCAUGUCCCUCCCUGGCCAUUGCAGCCUGCGUCCGUCCCUGGCUGCUGUAGCCUGUGCCAGGCAAGCCGCUACCACCGUCAUGCUGUGUCCCAGCCAACGUUGCCGCUGCAUGCCUAGGCAGCCGCGCCGCCGAUGAGUCUCCACCCUGCCCGACGAUCCCCGCCCUCCCUAUGUUGCAUCGCGUGUGUCUCUAAGGUAGCAGAAAAAAACGCCGAUGCAGUUUCAACCAUGCAUGCGGUCAAGAAAAAGAGAACCGUUGGGAACCCCACCUGCAGGCUUGCCCCCCACGUCCGAUCUGCAUGUAGGAAAAUUGGAAAACAGCCUUGUGGGCCCUCUUGCAUGCAUGCACACACACGACCUCCACUCUAGUUUGCCAUGCAUGCAUGCCGCAUUCACGAUCUGCAAAACCACCGCCCCUCAUCUCAAUCUUCUACACCUACGGUCACGUAGCCCUUUGUGUGGCCUAUUUUUCAGCCAAAUAAAAUCUCGUUGCGAAAAUCCGUGAGUUGUUAUUAUUCAGUAUCUUUUAUGUUACAAAUAUGUUUCAACCCUUUUCAAUAGCAUUAGCUUAAUAAUAAUGCCAUCAAUAAGUUGAAAAUAUUAUUUUAUCGCGACAUAAGUUUUAAUUAAUUAAUUAGUUGUUCAUUCUAUAGUUAUUAAAAAUGACCUUCUAAUUAAAACUAGUUUAUAGUUUUAACUUGCGCUUUAUAAAUAUAAAUGUUAACUUGAUUAAUACCAAGUUAAACUUUUUUCAUUUAAUAUUUGUUUAGUAUAAACACGAUAUCUGUUAGUGAAUCUCACGUGUUGCCGCGCGCUAAAUCACGUGCCUUUCGCGCGUCACUCAGGUCAUUUAAUUUAUUAUUCAUUUAAUCGUUCACUAUUAAAAUAGUAAUUUAGUCAAAACUAAAUAGUAUUUUUUUAGUUUACAGUUGAUAAAUGUCAAUCAAUAUAAUUAUGCCGAACUAAUGUUCUAGCAAUACGUGUUUAGUGUAAUCGCGUUAUUUGUUAGCGAUUAUCAUGCGUCGUAGCACUGUCUGCGCACUAUUCGCAUGUGAUGUGCUCGGGGUCGCGUGCUGAUUCGUGCGUCAUUCGUGCUGGUCGCACACAUUGUUUCGUGUGUCGUCAGCGUGCUAUGUCGCACGUCGUUUGCACGCUGUCGUGUUGUUUCGCGCGUCGUGAAUUUGCCCCGCUUAGAAUCUCUCGCUUUAAUUAAAUUACUGGUUUAACUGACAACUGCUAGUGUAGUAGGUUAACCGAAACUAAAUAUUAGAUAUAAAUUAUAUUUGAUAAUGCCGAAUUAAAGGUUAUAGUUAUACUUGUUUGGCGUAAACGUGAUAUCCCUCGACCGUAGCGUCAGUCGUCUCAGUUCCGUUCUCGUGUAGUCAUAGAUGUGAAUUCUAUGUCGCGUGCAUAUUUAUUUGAUCUACAUUGUUGUAUGGUGUAUUGUUUCCUUCCGUUUCAAGAAUGUGGAUGUAUGUUUGCACUCGCGUAGAUAUCGGGUCGUUCGUGGAGUCUGAGGGAAUUGCAGGAGAGGACCCUGAGAAGCAGCAACUUGGUGAAGGCAAGUGUCCUCUGUCCCAUUAUGUCCCAUUUACUUUAUAAUACACUGUCCCGCAUACUAUGAACAACCUAAGGAUUUACUAGCUUUCUAUUUACCUUAUCCUUGUUUACCUUUCGGGUUACUAUGGUUAGCUUCAUGCUAGCGCUUUACUUUAAUCAAUGAACAUGAUGAGAUACAAUGAUGAUACUAUGGUUUUAUUCUGGAUAUGAUGAUAUACUUGUGGCAUUUAAGGGGACUCGGGCUGUUUCCCGAGUACCUCUCCAUAAGGACCUGUUCGUUGAGAGACCACCCGGGAUAACAGUGCAACCAUGAGGGUGAAAUGGGAUGCCCUUAGCUAAUUAAUUAGAGGAACUAGAGGUGUAGUUGCUUCGCCGUCGUGCCGUCAAUGGGGUCCAGGCACAGUGCUUGCUCUGCCGAGGCUGUGUGCCGAGGUUCUUUCGUUUUGCUUUUUGUUAGUCACUCUCCUGCGGGGAGGGGUACUGUGUUUAUCAAACUAGAGAAACCUAACGGACGGCUAUGACCUCUAGGGAAUCUUUGUAAAAGCUAUGUAGUGAUACCCUACCGGACCACCUAGGUAGUGGUUAAUGGGGAUUAGCUCUCCCCGGGCAGAAAGGGAAUCAUGACUCAUGGGUAAAGUGUGCGACCUCUGCAGAGGGUAGUGAAACUGAUAUAUCAGCCGUGCUCACGGUUAAGAGCAGCAUUGGGAUCCUCUUUGAUUAGAGAUACUCCGAAUACACCUCAGAUGAUGACUCUAAUGAUGAUGGUUAAUGUUGGUGACUUUAAUUAUGUAUUCUAGUAUUUCCUCUCCGAGGAGAUACUUUUUGGGAUUAUAACUUGGGCUUGAUGAUAAAAUCUGGCUUCUACUAACAAUAAAUACUUGACCAACUAAAAGCAACUGCUUGAGCCUAACCCCACAUAAAAGCUAGUUCACUUCAGCCAAACGGGGCAUUUGCUGAGUACGUUGAUGUGUACUCAUCCUUGCUUUACCACAAAACACCAGGUUGCCCACAUUGUAACCACUGCUCAGGAGAAGAUGAAGCCGUGGAAGGAGACUUCCAGGAGUUCCAAGACUACGACGAGUUCUAGGUGUGGGUUGGCGGCAACCCCCAGUCAGCUGCCUGUGAAGGCCUUAUCUUUACUGCGUUUCGCUUAGCACUUUGAUUUAUCAGUUAAGUUGAUGACUAUGUGGAUGUCUCUGACUCUGUGAUGUAAUAAGUUAAUACUCUUUUAUGUUAUUAUUCGAGCACUGUGCGAUGAUGUUCAUUUAUGUAAUCGCUGUGUACGUGAGUUCUGAUCCUGGCACGUACAUAGUUCGCAUUCGGUUUGCCUUCUGAAACCGGGUGUGACAUAAGUGAUAUCAAAGCCGUGCUGACUGUAGGACCGCUAACCUAGAGUAACACUGGCCGUUCUAAGGACUUAUUGAUUACUACUUUACCUCAUCCUUGAUUCUGCUUCAAAAUAUUAGUCACCUCGACUAAUUCUAUGAUGUGCUCCUAUACGCCCCUUUGCCAAAAGUAUUUUAUUCUAAUAUGGUCUAUACUUCUCUCAAUCUAUUAGAUCUGAUCUCACUCUUGUGCUUUCGACAUCUUUGUAGAUGCCCCCUGACCAUAACCUCCUAGUCUCUUGGGAUUCUUUUCUCUUCCAUUAUUAAAUUGCUACCAUUUGACCCUCUCUAUUCCCUUGGUAUUGACAUGCUCGUACCCCUACAUUCUUCAAUACUCUUGUUUUAAAUACUUACAUCUGAAUUUCUCCUGCCUACUUAAACACUCCAGUUUAUAUGUCCAUGACCUUUUGUCUUCUGAUAUCCCUUUCUAUUCCACUGUUAAGUCGUCAUCCUUUGCCUCUUUCUAUUCCCUUGUCUUGGUAUGCCUGGCAUACCCUAAUGACUAUUCAAGACAUUUCAGUUAAUAUGUCCUUGACCACCCUUGUUUCUUGAUGAUCCAUGAGCGGUCAUUUUAUUUUUGCACAUCCGUGGUAACCUCGUUGUUUCCUUGUAACUUCCUUAGUUAUGGAUUUUUACUUCAACUCUUCUAUUGGAACCCUACCUAUCUUACCCUUGAUUGUUUCCUCUACUUCGCCAUUCCGCGAGUCUUACCCUAAUUCUAUCCUUUGUCAUGCUUUCAUUGAUAUUAUCUUUACCUUUGUCAUCUCUACAUCUCACCCUGUUGUUUGUCUCAUACCUGCCCUCUAAAAUCUUCUCUCGUCCGUCUCAAUUUGAAAGUUGUAUCUUACCCAUUUUUCUUCAGAUGUAUCCUAUUCUUUGCUGCUUGUGAACUUUCAACUUCAUUGUUUAAUGUGUUUUGUUCGCUAUCACCUUUACCCGUGUGAUCCUACCUUGAUGCUUGUCGUAUGUCUGCCACUUAAAACCUCCCUUCUCCCCUCUCAAUUUGAGAGUGGUGCUCUACUUAUCCCGCCUUUGGUCGUAACCUCAUCUUUGCCACGUGCCAGUCUUACCUUAGCUCUAUUCUUUAUUGUACUCAUACCCUUUGUUUUUGUGCACCUUCACCUCUUAUCUCUUACACCCUUGCCUGUUAUCGCCUUUAACCCUUGUAACAUCUAUAUCUUUACCUUGGUGCGUAUUUUGAACCUACCCUUUAAAUCCUACUCUUUUCCACCUCAAUUUGAGAGUGGCAAUUUACCUAUCUGGACCUUGGACGUACCCUCUCCUUUUCCAUUUACAGGUCUUGUCUUAACUCCAUCCUUUGUGGUAUUUAUAUUCUUGGUUCUUAUGCACAUUUACCUCCUCUCCUACAUCCUUGUCCGUUAUCACCUUUAAACCCUUGUGAUACCUAUGCCCUUGUCCACAUGCUUAGUUUCAACGUACCCUUUAAAGCCUCCUCUUUUCCAUCCCUGUUCGGGAUAAUGCCUCACCCACUUCACCGUUGGCUGCUUCCUCUUCUUUGAUGCCUUGCAAGUUUUGUCUAAAAUACGUCCUUUGUUGUGUGUUUGUCCAUUAUCACUUUAACCUUUGUCAUCCCUUGAUCUUUACCUUGAUGCUUAUCAUGUACCUGCAUUUUAAAGACGCCUCUCCCAUUUUAUUUCAAGGGUGAUGUCUUAUCCCCUCCCCUGUGAUACCCGGUUUGCAAAGAAGAGAAGUUGGAGGUUGUUCUUUUUGUUUUUUUUCCUCAUCCGGUUGUUGUUUUGGAGAUUUGGGAUUUUAUGGAAAACAUUCACAACUAGGGCAGUAGAAUUUAUUUGGUUUGACGCUUGCGUUGUGGUCGGGAGCUGUCGCGUGGGUUAGUUGGGCCGCAAUUGGAGUUUCGGCCCAUUAACCCUCCCAAACCCUAGCCGUCUCCCUCCUAACCCCCUCCCCCCAUGUGCAGCCGCCCCCCCCCCACUUCUCUCCCCCCUUGGCCGCCGCCCCCUGCCCAUCUCCUCCUCUCUCAAUUCUUGCAGCCACCAAACCCUAGCCCCCCCCCCCCUCAAUCCCCUCCUCCCAAGGUGCCAAUCCUUGCCGCUCGGAUCAUCGUCGUCGUGGUGCGAGUCUUCAAUCGUUUUGGUGGAGGGAAGAAGGGAGGAAGGAAAGGGGGAGAAUCCAAGGUGAUUUUUGUGUUCAUCCCUUGUUCAUUUGCGCUGCAAUUUAAUUGAUUAGAGGUUGCGUUUGCGAUUGGGUGGAGGGGGCUGUCCAGAAUUUUAGGUGGUGGGUGAACAGCAGUAGUCUAGCAGUUUCUAUGUUUUUUCGUGAGGAAUUAAGGGAAAUCAGUUUGGGGAUCAUGUAGAACUUUACCUUACCUUUCCAACGAGUAUUUAUGCGCUCAAUUUGGAGUUAUAAAUUGAAAGUUAUCACCGUUUGAAUCCGGGUAUGUGGCUGUCCAAAAAAACAGAUUUUCAGGGGGAUGAACAGCAGAAGUAUUAGCAGUUUCUGGGGAUUUUUCGGGAGUAAUUAGUGUUAAUAAGUAUGAGAAUCAUGUAGGGCUUUAUGUUAUCUUUCCAACAAGUACUUAUGCGCUCGAUUCGGAGUUAUAAUUCAGGAGAUAUCGUUGUUUGAAUCCGGUUAUGUUGCUGUCCAAAAAAACAGAUUUUUCAGGUGGGUGAACAGCAGUGGUAUUAGCAGUUUCUGGGAAUUUUUCGUGGGUAAUUAGUGUUAACCAGUAUGAUAAUCAUGUAGGGAUUUGUCUUAUCUUUCCAAUGAGUACUUAUGCGCUUGAUUUGGAAUUAUAUUUUAAAAGAUAUCGCUGUUUGAAUCUGGGUAUGUCUCUGUCCAAAAGACAAAGAAAAACAGAUUACAGGGUUCAUCUUGUGGACUGUUUUGGGCUAAUUAGAUAUUGGAAUUUAAUUAUAAAUUGUAUACAAAACUUGUGGGGAAUUUUAUGUAGAUGCCUCUGGAGUUUUUGUUUGUUACCACUGCUGUCAUAAUUUUAAAGUUAUGAAAUUAUUAAGCAGCGCCGCUGCAGUUUGGUGGGUGUAAGGAGAGAUGUAACCCGCGGCGGGGUUUGAGUUUGUGCGUAGGUGCGGCGUCGCUUAUGAGCCUGAUUAUGUGAAAUUGGUGUACUAAGUUGGGUGUCAAAAACAGGUGGUGGACUUCCGGAUCGUACUUAGGGAUUUGCCCGAACUUCCGGUAAAGGCAAGUAAAUACAGUGGUGGUUGCUACCGUUUGGUUUGCAUCCUAUUCCCUGUCAUUGAGUAUGCAUAAGUUUUAAUUAUGUUAAUCAUUGAAUUCUAUGAUGAAGUUUAUUUGUUUGGAAGUAUUAAUUCUCAAUUGUCUAAUAUUGUGGAUGAUCAUAAUUUGGUAAUGAUAUAUGUGGUUGAUUCCCAUCUGGAUGAAGUUGAAGUGUCUUUUGAAUCAUGUUAUAUGAAGUGUUGUAGGCAUGACAUGUACAUCGCAUCAUCCAUCUUGCAUUUUGAAGUUAUGUCGUGAUCUUAUGGUCCGACCGUACCGGUACAUUUUUAGCAUCGUACGUUGCCCGAGGAGGGGUACGAUGCGGCUUCAUAUCCUUAGAGGUAUGAAGGCAGAAGUCAUCCUUGCAUUUGCAGACAUUUGCACUCAUGAGGAAUAUAUGAAGUGUGACAUUACUAUGUUACUAUUGUGGUUUCUACCUGCGAGGUGUGGUAACUAGGUGCGUUGUACGUUGUAUACGUGCUACACCUUCGUAAUAGGAAGGUUGUGGAAUCAAGUGGUGGUAAAACAAUGUUCUUAUGUGGUUAAACUGUUUGAUAUUAUUUUACUUGCUGAGAUGUGUCAUCUCACUCUUGCAUUACUCAAUGCAGGUACUUGAUACAUGUUGGGAAUGAG